UACGAAGGGGGCUAGCGUUGCUCGGAAUCACUGGGCGUAAAGGGCGCGUAGGCGGACUCUUAAGUCGGGGGUGAAAGCCCAGGGCUCAACCCUGGAAUUGCCUUCGAUACUGAGAGUCUUGAGUUCGGAAGAGGUUGGUGGAACUGCGAGUGUAGAGGUGGAAUUCGUAGAUAUUCGCAAGAACACCAGUGGCGAAGGCGGCCAACUGGUCCGAUACUGACGCUGAGGCGCGAAAGCGUGGGGAGCAAACAGG
RNAcentral lists this ribosomal RNA (253 nucleotides) under uncultured bacterium. RNAcentral describes it as "partial 16S ribosomal RNA". It matches the Rfam family "Bacterial small subunit ribosomal RNA", at positions 524 to 776 of the family's 1533-position model. The record is from RNAcentral.